UGGGGAAUCUUGGACAAUGGGCGCAAGCCUGAUCCAGCCAUGCCGCGUGAGUGAAGAAGGCCUUCGGGUUGUAAAGCUCUUUUUUACCAGGGACGAUAAUGACGGUACCUGGAGAAUAAGCCCCGGCAAACUUCGUGCCAGCAGCCGCGGUAAUACGAAGGGGGCUAGCGUUGUUCGGAAUUACUGGGCGUAAAGCGCGCGUAGGCGGUCGUAUAAGUCGGAUGUGAAAGCCCUUGGCUCAACCAAGGAACUGCGUCCGAUACUGUACGGCUUGAGGCUGGUAGGGGGUAGCGGAAUUCCCGGUGUAGCGGUGGAAUGCGUAGAUAUCAAGAGGAACACCUGAGGUGAAGACGGGUUGCUGGGCUGACACUGACGCUGAGGCGCGAAAGCCAGGGGAGCAAACGGGAUUAGAUACCCAAGUAGUCCCUGAGCGGGCUGGCAAGGCGCAU
This 449-nucleotide ribosomal RNA is filed under the name uncultured bacterium. RNAcentral's name for it is "bacterial SSU rRNA". It matches the Rfam family "Bacterial small subunit ribosomal RNA", at positions 355 to 825 of the family's 1533-position model. The record is from RNAcentral.